Molecule: ribosomal RNA, 791 nt
Filed under: uncultured bacterium
Lineage: Bacteria
Description: bacterial SSU rRNA
Rfam family: Bacterial small subunit ribosomal RNA
Source: RNAcentral
AGAGUUUGAUCAUGGCUCAGAUUGAACGCUGGCGGCAGGCCUAACACAUGCAAGUCGAGCGGAUGACAGGAGCUUGCUCCUGAAUUCAGCGGCGGACGGGUGAGUAAUGCCUAGGAAUCUGCCUGGUAGUGGGGGACAACGUCUCGAAAGGGACGCUAAUACCGCAUACGUCCUACGGGAGAAAGCAGGGGACCUUCGGGCCUUGCGCUAUCAGAUGAGCCUAGGUCGGAUUAGCUAGUUGGUGAGGUAAUGGCUCACCAAGGCGACGAUCCGUAACUGGUCUGAGAGGAUGAUCAGUCACACUGGAACUGAGACACGGUCCAGACUCCUACGGGAGGCAGCAGUGGGGAAUAUUGGACAAUGGGCGAAAGCCUGAUCCAGCCAUGCCGCGUGUGUGAAGAAGGUCUUCGGAUUGUAAAGCACUUUAAGUUGGGAGGAAGGGCAGUAGCUUAAUACGUUGCUGUUUUGACGUUACCGACAGAAUAAGCACCGGCUAACUCUGUGCCAGCAGCCGCGGUAAUACAGAGGGUGCAAGCGUUAAUCGGAAUUACUGGGCGUAAAGCGCGCGUAGGUGGUUUGUUAAGUUGGAUGUGAAAGCCCCGGGCUCAACCUGGGAACUGCAUUCAAAACUGACAAGCUAGAGUAUGGUAGAGGGUGGUGGAAUUUCCUGUAGCGGUGAAAUGCGUAGAUAUAGGAAGGAACACCAGUGGCGAAGGCGACCACCUGGACUGAUACUGACACUGAGGUGCGAAAGCGUGGGGAGCAAACAGGAUUAGAUACCCUAGUAGUCC